UACGGGGGAGCAAGCGUUGUUCGGAUUACUGGCGUAAAGGGCGCGUAGGCGGCCACCGCAAGUCGACUGUGAAAUCUCCGGGCUUAACCCGGAAAGGUCAGCCGAUACUGCGGGGCUAGAGUGCAGAAGGGGCAACUGGAAUUCUCGGUGUAGCGGUGAAAUGCGUAGAUAUCAGGAGGAACACCAAUGGCGAAGGCAGCUCGCUGGAACGGUACUGACGCUGAGGCGACGAAAGCGUGGGGAGCGAACAG
This 251-nucleotide ribosomal RNA is filed under the name uncultured bacterium. RNAcentral's name for it is "partial 16S ribosomal RNA". It matches the Rfam family "Bacterial small subunit ribosomal RNA", at positions 524 to 775 of the family's 1533-position model. The record is from RNAcentral.